This 356-nucleotide ribosomal RNA is filed under the name uncultured Desulfobulbus sp. RNAcentral describes it as "bacterial SSU rRNA". It matches the Rfam family "Bacterial small subunit ribosomal RNA", at positions 1028 to 1382 of the family's 1533-position model. The record is from RNAcentral. Lineage: Bacteria; Pseudomonadati; Thermodesulfobacteriota; Desulfobulbia; Desulfobulbales; Desulfobulbaceae.
ACUGACACAGGUGCUGCAUGGCUGUCGUCAGCUCGUGUCGUGAGAUGUUGGGUUAAGUCCCGUAACGAGCGCAACCCUUGCCUUUAGUUGCCAGCAGUUCGGCUGGGCACUCUAAAGGGACUGCCGGUGUUAAACCGGAGGAAGGUGGGGAUGACGUCAAGUCCUCAUGGCCUUUAUGACCAGGGCUACACACGUACUACAAUGGCCGAUACAAAGGGCAGCGACACUGCGAGGUGAAGCCAAUCCCGUAAAAAUCGGUCUCAGUCCGGAUUGGAGUCUGCAACUCGACUCCAUGAAGUUGGAAUCGCUAGUAAUCGCGCAUCAGCCAUGGCGCGGUGAAUACGUUCCCGGGCCUU